UGUGACGAAGUGGGCCUGUUCUUAAUGUUUCCUCCGAAUAUUGUGGGGGUGCCUCAGUUUCCCCUAUGCAGUUCUUAAGUAUCUAGGUGGUGGGGUAAGGGUGUAUGAUCAUUGCAGAGCCCUAGAGGGCAGGUGUGUGCAGGGGUCUGGACACAGAGAAUGGCCGACACCCUGUUUCCUGGCAACUGAUGGCCUGGGCCCUUCCCCCCCUGCAAGGUGAAAGCUGAAGGGUUGGAGAACAAAGGAAUCAGGUGCCCUCCUGGCCCGGGAAAGGAACAAAGCCCAGAGGAGGAGGGGCUGGAGGGAGUUUCAGUUUGGGGCUGGCUGGGACAUGGAGUGAAGUGCAGACGGGGUUGUCUGGCUCACUGCCCCCCAAAAUGGACCCAGCUGAGGGGUCCCGUUCUCUGCACCUGCAAGCUCUGUUUUAGACCAUGUUCCUGUCGUCUAAUAAACCUUCUGUUUUACUGGCUGGCUGAGAGUCACGUCUGACUGCGGAGUUGGGGUGCAGGACCCUCUGGCUUCCCUAGGAGCCCCGCCUGAGCGGACUCGCUGGGGGGAAGCGCACGGAGGGGCAGAGGAUGCUGAAUGCUCCGAGGUCAGACCCAGGAAGGUGGAAGCUGUGUGAGCUGUGUGUCCUGAAGACAGGCUGCUCACAGAAAGGCGACUACCCCAGAGUCCUGACUGGCUUCAUGGGGAGCAGUUCCAGAGCAUCGCCCAGGGACUCCGUGACAACUGGUGGCAGCGGUGGGAUGUACUGCACCCCGUGGAUGGCGCUUCCUGCAGUAAGUGACUGGGGAGCAGUAACACGAAGGGGGAUUGCCGAGGACCAGGCCUGCUGAAGGCUCAGAAAGGAGCGGUUUCGGGGGCGGUUAACCCCUGGGAGUGUGUGACCAGCGAGAAGGACUGUGCAGUAAUGGGGUCCCCCUGGGGACUGCAGUGAGCAGUCUCAGGGGCGGAGGAGUCUGCAGCUCGACCCUGGCAAAGAGGUGGUGACCUCGAGAAGGGCUGGCACACUAGGGGUUCUCCCUGGAAACCGUGGGGAGCUGAGAACACACGGGCCUGUGAGUCCACAACAACUUGGGAGGAGCGGAGUGAUGGCCUGUCACCGUCUCCUUAAGAAGGACAUUGUAACCCUGUGCAAAAAGAGAGGAUUAAGUGUUGGAAAGUUCACCAAAGCAGAGUUAAUCGUGCAGCUGGAGGAGGAUGACCGCUCUAAGGAACAGACUCCUGACCCCAACUGGGGCUAUAGCAGGAUCUGGGAGCAGCUGGAGCGGGAGCCAGGCAUCGCCAAGACUCCUGUCCCCGACCAGACGGGGGUCUUCACGAUCGGGUUCCCCAUCGGGGGAUCGGAGAUGGACGCGAUUGGAGCUGAGUCUGAGAGAGCAAGAGGACCGUGGGAGACAGCGAGAGCCCGAGAAAGAGCUGCAGAAGCAGCAGCAGCAUGAACUGGCGGUGGGGGAGCGGAGAGGCCUAGGGGACCUCCCCGGGGAGAAUAAACCAUCCCUCAUUCAGACUGGUCCAGAAGCAACCCUGCAGACCCACCUCCUUGUAUUUGAGGCCGAGAAAUCCAGAAAAGAAAACCGCGUUGUGUGUUUAGAAAUGAGAAAGGAACUCUUUCCGAAGCCUACAUACAAAUGAACUUUUAAAUUUGAGGAGACAGAAUAAAAACUGGUCCCAGUUACCAGGGAAAUUAUGUCUUGUUUAUACUAAUCUGGAAUAUAUAUGGGGAUGGGCAUUACAUAAAAUCAAAUUUUGCAUACUACAAAUCUGUAAAAUGCAAAAGGUGUGUUUAAUAGAAUUUUCUAUAUCGUUUCAUUAAUUUUUUUAGAUAAAGAAAAAAUAUUAAAAAUCAUCAGUAUU
Non-coding RNA from Caretta caretta (loggerhead turtle), 1860 nucleotides. The record is from RefSeq and is a predicted model, not a curated record. NCBI's taxonomy places the organism in Eukaryota, Metazoa, Chordata, Testudines, Cheloniidae.